Molecule: ribosomal RNA, 660 nt
Filed under: Vittaforma corneae
Lineage: Eukaryota; Fungi; Microsporidia; Nosematidae
Description: SSU rRNA
Rfam family: Microsporidia small subunit ribosomal RNA
Source: RNAcentral
UAUCUUGUAAAGAGGGAUAGGAGAAUUGGAGGGCAAGUUUGGUGCCAGCAGCCGCGGUAAUACCGACUCCAAGAGUGUGUAUGAGAGAUGCUGCAGUUAAAAAGUCCGUAGUCAUAGAAGGGCAAAGAGAGACGCGAGGUCUCACAGUGCGAUGAUGGAGGAGCCGAUGGGGAACAUAGUAUACCAGGGCGAGAGAUGAAAUGCCAAGACCCCUGGUGGACUGAGCGAGGCGAAGGCGAUGUUCUUGUAGGCAUUCGGUGAUCAAGGACGAAGGCUGGAGUAUCGAAAGUGAUUAGAUACCGCAGUAGUUCCAGCAGUAAAAGAUGCCGACAUGCUCAUUGGACACAGUGGGCAGGGAGAAAUCUUAGAGUUCGGGCUCUGGGGAUAGUAUGCUCGCAAGGGUGAAAAUUAAAGAAAUUGACGGAGCUACACCACAAGGAGUGGAUUGUGCGGCUUAAUUUGACUCAACGCGAGGAAACUUACCAGGGCCAAGUAUUGUGUAGAAACGAGCAAUACAGGAGUGGUGCAUGGUCGUUGGAAAUUGAUGGGAUGACUUUGACCUUAAAUGGGUGAAUGAGUGAGAUUCUUUUUGACAUGUCCGCACGAACAGGAAGGAAAAGGCUAUACAGAUCGAGAUGCCCUCAGAUGCCUUGGGCUGCA